UGGCUCUACAAUUGAACAUGCCCCCCUCACUCAUAAAAAAAACUAGAGCCUUUUCCUCUCCUUUUUCAACCUUCCAACCGUCGCCGAGAAGAGACAGAACCGGCCCCCCUUCUGAAAACCCUACCCGCUUCCUUCUCCAUCUCACCCAUUCACUCCCUCAUUCUCACAUAAUACACUCAUAAACUCAUUUUAUCCACUUGAAGUUCAUUGUUGAGAUCUGACGUCUUAAGCUAUGAAAAAUACACAAAAACAGCAGUUAAAAAAGUGCUCCAAAUAGCCUAAAAAUAUUAGUCUAGAUCAGUGGUUUCAAAAACCCCAUAUUCAUCCGGCAUUUUUGGGUUUCUAAGUUGAUCUAACUGAGUUUAUCGUUGAUGUGUGGCUGAUCCAUGUCAACUGGUAGCUGAAUUCCCAAAUUGUAGCAUUUUUCAGUAAUUAUUUGGCAAUUUUAAGGACUUGUUACUGCUUUCAAGAUUCAGGAGCUCCAGGUUCUGCUAGCGAGGGUUGAUAGCUUCCAGCAGAUUUCGGAGUCCACUAGGUAGCUGCUCGGCGAUCGCAACCCAGUGUUUUCUCCCUCUUGUCAUUAUUUCUUUCCCGUGUAUUGGAUUUGGUACUAGACUGUGUAGUCCCUUUUCUGUAUUCCUAGACUAUGUUAGAUGCUCAUGAUUGGUGAUACCCCGAUGUCGGGCUGUAUUGGUUUUUCCGCAACUUUUACUAUUUCACUGUUUAUUUGGGAUUAAAUUAUGUUAUUGUGCCCUUUUAAUUGCUUAAAAAUGAAUUGGUUGUUG
Nicotiana tabacum (common tobacco) is the source of this 785-nucleotide non-coding RNA. The record is from RefSeq and is a predicted model, not a curated record. NCBI's taxonomy places the organism in Eukaryota, Viridiplantae, Streptophyta, Magnoliopsida, Solanales, Solanaceae.